This 914-nucleotide ribosomal RNA is filed under the name uncultured archaeon. Its description in RNAcentral is "bacterial SSU rRNA". It matches the Rfam family "Archaeal small subunit ribosomal RNA", at positions 1 to 922 of the family's 1478-position model. The record is from RNAcentral.
UUCCGGUUGAUCCCGCCGGACCUGACUGCUAUCGGAUUGAUACUAAGCCAUGCGAGUCAUUGUAGCAAUACAAGGCAUACGGCUCAGUAACGCGUAGUCAACCUACCUUAUGGACGGGGAUAACCUCGGGAAACUGAGAAUAAUACCCGAUAGAACAUAAUUCCUGGAAUGGUUUAUGUUUCAAAUAAUUUAUUGCCGUAGGAUGGGACUGCGGCCUAUCAGUUUGUUGGUGAGGUAAUGGCCCACCAAGACUAUUACAGGUACGGGCUCUGAGAGGAGUAGCCCGGAGAUGGGUACUGAGACACGGACCCAGGCCCUAUGGGGCACAGCAGGCGAGAAAACUUUGCAAUGUGCGAAAGCACGACAAGGUUAAUCCGAGUGGUUUCUGCUAAAGGAACCUUUUGACAGUCAUAGAACCACUGUUGAAUAAGGGGUGGGCAAGUUCUGGUGUCAGCCGCCGCGGUAAAACCAGCACCUCAAGUGGUCAGGAUGAUUAUUGGGCCUAAAGCAUCCGUAGCCUGCUUUGUAAGUUUUCGGUUAAAUCCACACGCUCAACGUAUGGGCUGCCGGGAAUACUGCAAAGCUAGGGAGUGGGAGAGGUAGACGGUACUCGGUAGGAAGGGGUAAAAUCCUUUGAUCUAUUGAUGACCACCUGUGGCGAAGGCGGUCUACCAGAACACGUCCGACGGUGAGGGAUGAAAGCUGGGGGAGCAAGCCGGAUUAGAUACCCGGGUAGUCCCAGCUGUAAACUAUGCAAACUCGGUGAUGCAUUGGCUUGAUGCCAAUGCAGUGCCGCAGGGAAGCCGUUAAGUUUGCCGCCUGGGAAGUACGUACGCAAGUAUGAAACUUAAAGGAAUUGGCGGGGGAGCACCACAAGGGGUGAAGCCUGCGGUUCAAUUGGAUUCAACGCCGGG